This 228-nucleotide long non-coding RNA is filed under the name Phaseolus vulgaris (common bean). Its description in RNAcentral is "long non-coding RNA (PVUL_LNC001200)". The record is from RNAcentral. Lineage: Eukaryota; Viridiplantae; Streptophyta; Magnoliopsida; Fabales; Fabaceae.
GGUGUUGUUGAAAAGGCACGUAAGACGUUAGAGAGAGUGACACGUAGGAGGAGAUAGAGAGAGUGUGGGUCCCAUAGGAAAGGCUUUCUCUUUCUAAGAAAUUGCCACGUCACUUAUCCAACCACCGUCUGCCGUCCCCUCCAACCCCAACCUUAGCUGUUCUUCACUCUCAUUCCCUUUCCUUUUCUUUUUUUUCUUUUUUAUUUUAUCCUCUUUCGUCGUAUCUUC